This 1067-nucleotide long non-coding RNA is filed under the name Cyanistes caeruleus (blue tit). Its description in RNAcentral is "lncRNA (ENSCCEG00000016109.1)". The record is from RNAcentral. Lineage: Eukaryota; Metazoa; Chordata; Aves; Passeriformes; Paridae.
GGCACUGGGACCAUGACCAGGUCUUCAGUGAUGAAUGGGCCUUGCAGAUAAGUUGGAAAGAGGACUGUGGAUCCUGAGCUGUAAAACCCAGUCAAAUCAGUGGAGCAAUGAAACCUGCUUUUCAUGUGUCUCAAGGCUGGUGUUUCCAGUGGAUUCCCUCAUGUGUCAUAAGGAAUGGAUGCCCUCCUGAAGGAAGAACAGUUUUGUGGAAUUUUAAGGUAUUUUGUUGUUUAUCAGAAGAUCUUGAGAUGAAAAAAGUGCCAACAAGUGAACACGAAAAUUUUUGGACCUGAAUACAUUCCUUUAAAUAUGUAUGUCACACAUCUCCUAACAAACUUCCCACAAUUUCCUCUUCUCCCUCUACGUGACAACGUAGUAGCUGAAAACAGCUGCAGUGGUAGCUGAUUGUUUUCACAAAUGAUCACCUCCUUUUCUGUAUUGGUUUUCCUAGCUGUAUCAAGAAUUUUACCUUGAAAAAGAGAUGGAUGACCUUUCUUCAUGCUAGUGAGCUGAUGAUUUGGAAGUUUAGUAUUUCUUAAUAUUUUGCUCUGUGAUACUGAAACAUUUUUAACUGUGGAUGCACAAGUGAUCAUUUCCCACAGAAAGGGUGAAACCACGGGAGACUAUGACUGAAACACAACUCAAUUUGGAACUCGAAAGUCACACAAGUAGAACAGGAACUUGAGGGUUCCGAUGCAGUAGCUAGAGGACAACUGGUUACACAGAAAAAUAUAUUCCUACAAUUUUCACUUCUGCUGCCAGUUCUCAGACCUAGGACACAGUGGACCUGUGAAGCAGGGUGCUUCAAUGGGUUCCAGAAAGUGAACUACGCUUUCGGGGCCCAGAGCACGCUUGCUAAAAUUGCUGAUGAAAUGGGCGAAGGAUGGGUCUUUGUACAGAAAUCCAAGAGCCCUCAUUGAGCCUCAAAGGGAGUCCAGGGACAAAGAUGAAACUGGGUGGAGGACACAGGGUUAAAUACUGGGUAAAGGGGUGGAGCUGAGGGUCAAGGGUCAAUAGAAACAGGUAAAAGUGAUGCAGCAAUGGGGUAACAAACCAGGGAAACCAAU